CGGUGGAUGAUGUGGUUAAUUCGAUGCAACGCGAAAACCUUACCCACCUUUGACAUGGCAGGAAUCCUAAAGAGAUUUGGAGUGCUCGAAAGAGAACCUGCACACAGGUGCUGCAUGGCUGUCGUCAGCUCGUGUCGUGAGAUGUUGGGUUAAGUCCCGCAACGAGCGCAACCCUUGCCAUUAGUUGCUACGAAAGGGCACUCUAAUGGGACUGCCGGUGACAAACCGGAGGAAGGUGGGGAUGACGUCAAGUCCUCAUGGCCCUUAUAGGUGGGGCUACACACGUCAUACAAUGGCCGGUACAGAGGGUAGCCAACCCGCGAGGGGGGAGCCAAUCCCACAAAGCCGGUCGUAGUCCGGAUCGCAGUCUGCAACUCGACUGCGUGAAGUCGGAAUCGCUAGUAAUCGCGGAUCAGCAUGUCGCGGUGAAUACGUUCCCGGGUCUU
This 446-nucleotide ribosomal RNA is filed under the name uncultured Allobrachymonas sp. Its description in RNAcentral is "bacterial SSU rRNA". It matches the Rfam family "Bacterial small subunit ribosomal RNA", at positions 930 to 1382 of the family's 1533-position model. The record is from RNAcentral. Lineage: Bacteria; Pseudomonadati; Pseudomonadota; Betaproteobacteria; Burkholderiales; Comamonadaceae.